RNAcentral lists this ribosomal RNA (696 nucleotides) under uncultured bacterium. Its description in RNAcentral is "bacterial SSU rRNA". It matches the Rfam family "Bacterial small subunit ribosomal RNA", at positions 32 to 715 of the family's 1533-position model. The record is from RNAcentral.
AACGCUAGCUACAGGCUUAACACAUGCAAGUCGAGGGGCAGCAUGGUCUUAGCUUGCUAAGGCUGAUGGCGACCGGCGCACGGGUGAGUAACACGUAUCCAACCUGCCGUCUACUCUUGGCCAGCCUUCUGAAAGGAAGAUUAAUCCAGGAUGGGAUCAUGAGUUCACAUGUCCGCAUGAUUAAAGGUAUUUUCCGGUAGACGAUGGGGAUGCGUUCCAUUAGAUAGUAGGCGGGGUAACGGCCCACCUAGUCAACGAUGGAUAGGGGUUCUGAGAGGAAGGUCCCCCACAUUGGAACUGAGACACGGUCCAAACUCCUACGGGAGGCAGCAGUGAGGAAUAUUGGUCAAUGGGCGAUGGCCUGAACCAGCCAAGUAGCGUGAAGGAUGACUGCCCUAUGGGUUGUAAACUUCUUUUAUAAAGGAAUAAAGUCGGGUAUGCAUACCCGUUUGCAUGUACUUUAUGAAUAAGGAUCGGCUAACUCCGUGCCAGCAGCCGCGGUAAUACGGAGGAUCCGAGCGUUAUCCGGAUUUAUUGGGUUUAAAGGGAGCGUAGAUGGAUGUUUAGGUCAGUUGUGAAAGUUUGCGGCUCAACCGUAAAAUUGCAGUUGAUACUGGAUAUCUUGAGUGCAGUUGAGGCAGGCGGAAUUCGUGGUGUAGCGGUGAAAUGCUUAGAUAUCACGAAGAACUCCGAUUG